AGGAACCGUAACAGUUCAGGCAGGCACGUUUGACUACGGGAUCGAGGUAGACCUAAGAAAAAGCAGAGAAUAAGAACCCCCGUCUUGCUUCUGAAUGUUUCAGGACUCUGGCUUAGGUUAAGCCAAGGCUGCACAACCGGCAACUGGCCAAUUACUCAGCCCACCAGCCAGAUAUUGUCUCCUGUAACUGCUCGACAUCCCCUUUGUUCUUGACACCACAAGCUGGGAACAAGAACAGGAUGUUCAUCUUACCCCUGCUGUGCAACCAUAUAUUGUUGAUGGGAUACUUCAGCUCGGCAAGUCAGAGAACAUGUGCCAAUUUGGCUCAAGCUUCAUCAGGAAAAGGCAUAACCUCCCUAAAUGCUUGCCUGGAAGUGGUGAUGGGCUGGAUGAAGGAUAAAUUCAGACUGAUUCUAAAUAAGAUGGAGGUGCUUAUUGUGCAUGCAAGAGAAAAUUUUGAUCUGCCAGUCCUGGCUACAUUCCCCCAGAAGGAACAGAACACGCAGUGAAGGAGCUUCCGCCUGACACUGCUACAUAAACUGGCAGGUAUGCUGCUGCUGCUGCUGGGAUGGAAGCAUGGAGAGAGUGCCCUCACCACUGUCGCUUCGCCUGGCGGGACCAAUUCCAAAGAAGUCCCCGUUUCCUGGAGUGCGAGGAGGAGCGAGCCGAGGGGACCCCAUACUUCCCUCUUUCUGCCUGAGUGCCGGCGAGUGCCCCAAGUGGCACCCCUGCAUGGUGGUCCCUGAAGCUCGGCGCCCUGAAGCUCGGCGCCCUGAAGCUCGGCACACCCCUAAAGCUGGCCCUGC
Long non-coding RNA from Hemicordylus capensis (graceful crag lizard), 806 nucleotides. RefSeq lists it as uncharacterized. The record is from RefSeq and is a predicted model, not a curated record. Lineage: Eukaryota; Metazoa; Chordata; Lepidosauria; Squamata; Cordylidae. The transcript is spliced from 4 exons.